UGAAAAUCAGCUUCAGUAUCAGCAGCUUGUUCACACGUCAGACUAAACUAUUGCUGGAGUACGUUUAAGACAGGACAAUGGCAGUUGUGCAGAAAAUGACUCUGGGGAUAGGAAUUGGUCUCAUGGCUGCUGGUGUUGGAGUAUGGAUUGGUGGCACUCGUGGCAUACUGGCAGGUAGCGCUGUGGGAGGCGUGGCUCUGGUUUGUGCGAAUGCAGAUGUUAAGCCUCUAUCUGAAAUUCUCAAGCCUCUCUCAGGAAAGAAGAAAGCGAUACUCUUGGAUCUGAUUAUAUCACUGACCACGAUGACUUUUGAUCUCUUGAGUUUGGAGGGUUCUGAUAACAUACAGCUGAGCAAGAAAGAAAUCAUUAGAUGUGUCAUUUUAGGAGCACAGUCUAGGGGAAUUCCAGACCAGGUCCUGAAACUAAUAAGUGGGUGAUGAGGAAGUGGCAUUAUACUGAGAAUUAUUAUGGCCACAGCGUAUAUACAUGAUGUAAUAGUAAUAAAGUCAUGAAUUAUUUUAAAUACUUAAAUCUUUAAAUAUCUGUAUUUUAUCCUAUUGAUGAUUUUGAAUAUUUUGUACAUCUUUGAAUGAGAUACUUUGCAAUAUAUCUAAGAAUUUGUUGCUUUUUUUUUAGCAGCAUAGUUUAUUAGGUUGCUUUCCCUGGUCUUUCUCGUGUAAGUCCUGACUCUGAUGACUCUUGAGGAAGCGUUACACAAAUGCUGAAUAUUACACAGAUGACACUAACUUCAUAUAAUUAUAUAAAAAA
Molecule: long non-coding RNA, 768 nt
Organism: Pangasianodon hypophthalmus (striped catfish)
Lineage: Eukaryota; Metazoa; Chordata; Actinopteri; Siluriformes; Pangasiidae
Exons: 3
Source: RefSeq, a predicted model, not a curated record